UGAUCACUCAAAUCAGGUAAGAAUACCUGCUGAACUUAAGCAUAUCAAUAAGCGGAGGA
Molecule: ribosomal RNA, 59 nt
Filed under: Glomus sp. R15.3
Lineage: Eukaryota; Fungi; Glomeromycota; Glomeromycetes; Glomerales; Glomeraceae
Description: partial 28S ribosomal RNA
Source: RNAcentral